Small nucleolar RNA from Arvicanthis niloticus (Nile rat), 141 nucleotides. RefSeq annotates it as small nucleolar RNA SNORA48. Lineage: Eukaryota; Metazoa; Chordata; Mammalia; Rodentia; Muridae. The record is from RefSeq and is a predicted model, not a curated record.
ACUCCCUGGCAAUGGGCAAAGAGACACCUUGUUGAUGGCGUCCUUACAUCAGUCAGGGACAGAACAGAUAACAGUCCUUUGUUCAUCCUAGCUUGAUGCCUGGUUUGGUGGACCAAGCUGCUUUAUGCCUGGAACUCAUAA